UCCGUUGCGUCUACAGCCGGAGCGUUAACGUUCGGCUGAUGGCUGGUGGCAAUUGCCACCGGCCU
RNAcentral lists this small RNA (65 nucleotides) under Pseudomonas duriflava. RNAcentral describes it as "Pseudomonas sRNA P26". It matches the Rfam family "Pseudomonas sRNA P26". From Rfam's summary of the family: P26 is conserved across many Gammaproteobacteria species and appears to be consistently located between the DNA directed RNA polymerase (beta subunit) and 50S ribosomal protein L7/L12 genes. Lineage: Bacteria; Pseudomonadati; Pseudomonadota; Gammaproteobacteria; Pseudomonadales; Pseudomonadaceae. The record is from RNAcentral.